CCUACGGGAGGCUGCAGUGAGGAAUAUUGGUCAAUGGGCGGGAGCCUGAACCAGCCAAGUCGCGUGAGGGAAGAAGGUACUGAGUAUUGUAAACCUCUUUUGCCAGGGGACAAAGGCGGCCACGGGUGGCCGUAAGUGGGUACCUGGAGAAAAAGCAUCGGCUAACUCCGUGCCAGCAGCCGCGGUAAUACGGAGGAUGCAAGCGUUAUCCGGAUUUAUUGGGUUUAAAGGGUGCGUAGGCUGUGAGGUAAGUCAGCGGUGAAAUGCCCCCGCUCAACGGGGUGAAGUGCCAUUGAUACUGCCUUGCUGGAAUGCGGAUGCCGUGGGAGGAAUGUGUGGUGUAGCGGUGAAAUGCAUAGAUAUCACACAGAACACCGAUUGCGAAGGCAUCUCACGAAUCCGCGAUUGACGCUGAUGCACGAAAGCGUGGGUAUCAAACAGGAUUAGAUACCCCAGUAGUC
This 461-nucleotide ribosomal RNA is filed under the name uncultured bacterium. Its description in RNAcentral is "partial 16S ribosomal RNA". It matches the Rfam family "Bacterial small subunit ribosomal RNA", at positions 338 to 795 of the family's 1533-position model. The record is from RNAcentral.